Molecule: long non-coding RNA, 233 nt
Organism: Pseudophryne corroboree (corroboree frog)
Lineage: Eukaryota; Metazoa; Chordata; Amphibia; Anura; Myobatrachidae
Exons: 3
Source: RefSeq, a predicted model, not a curated record
CAGGAUUUGAAAUUUUCCUAAGUUCUCUGUUUGGUGACAUGUAUAAACAGAGGUAGACUAUAAGGUUCCACCAUUCUUGAUUGAAAAUAGGGAACGUAACAUCAUCUAAUUUCAACCAAAUUUAUAUAUAUUUUUUUGAAGUCUAUCUAGAUAUUAUAUUUAUCGAAUUGAAUAUGUGAUUGGAUGUAAUCAUUGGAUAUUCUAAACCUUUCUAAUCAAUGGUAAUCACUCCU